CUUCCAUAUGCUGUGGACACUGCUCUAAAAAGACCCAAAAAAAAAAAAAAAUUGUUCUAACUACAACACUGUUAUACUUAGGAAAUGAAACAUUAUCAUAAUUCUUUCAUCAAACCUACCUGUCCACACCCCAUACUGUUCAUGUCCCAACAAUGUCCUUUAGGCACUUUCUCCUGUAGCACAAGACCUAGUUCGUUUAGUGGCCACACCUAUUUCGUCUUCUUUAAUCCGAAGGUUUCUCGGUCUCUCCCACUUUCCUACAUUCACACGGUUAAAGAAUCCAGACCGUCUGUAGACUGUUCUUCCGUGUGGGUUUGUCUCACGUUUCUUGUUGAUUAGGUUCCGGUUGUUUGUAAGCGAUGGUGUUUCUUCCCCAACGCGUCGCCUCCAGAAGUGUGAUAACCAUCCGAGCCUCAUCGCUAAGGUUAAUUUUGACCUCGAGGCCGAAGUGUCAUCUGCUGUCCCCAUCGCCAUUUGCAGGUGGACUGUUUGCUAGGCGCUUUUCCAGAUGCUCAGAGUCCUUACUUCGGCUCUUCACAACUGCCUUGACGGUAUUCUUUCCACUUUACAGAUGAAGAUGCAAGACUCAGAGUGUCCAUGGGACCUGCCAAAGGUCUUGCUGCUGGAAAGGGGUAAAGGGAUUCCUGAGACUUGUGCAGGUGCCAACAGGAAGAGACUCUUUGCUGGCCUUGAAGAUGUGGGAAGUCUGGCCAGCACCUGCUCUACUGUAGCCAUCCUGCCAUGCCAUGGGCUGGGCUUAUCUCCGAGUAAGAGCCGCCCAUGGAUCGAAUCUUCAGCCAGGUCUACAUCUGGACAUUUUUCUGAGAUGCCUCUGUUUGGUGUUUGCUAUGGGGAAGAAUAAAGAAAUAAGACAUACAUUAUUCAUUGACGUGAACAGGAGGAUUUCUGUGAUAUCCCCUCUGGCUUUGACAGGAUGACAGAACAGUCACUCAAGACCUAAGUGUGAGCCACCCCUCUCCCCAUCCUGCUAUUUUUUGAAGACUAGAGACUUUAAGCCAAUCAUCCAAUAAGUAAAAUGUCCCUCUGGAAUUUCACCUCGUGAAAAAUGAUACCACCAGCCACCGAACUGCCCAAGGGUGAAACAGGGAGCGGGUCUGUUUCUUCUCUUCCUUGUAUUCCAGGUGCCCUCAGAUCCUGAGACCAGUCUUUCUGCCCUAGUUAAAGAGGCUGCUUGCCAUCCUUUACUUCAUCUAUUUUCAUGCUUUCGAGUCAUCCAUUCCCCACUUCCAUUUCACCUCCACCCCGCAGUCCUCCACGCCGGACAGCGUCAUAACCCCAAUACAUUGUGUCCAAUCGCCCACCUUACGUUCAGACUCUGGUGUGUCCACUAGCUCUGCAGAGCCCCGGGGUUCAGUGAUGGUGUCUCAGGGGUCUAGGUAUGCCUGAAAAGAAAGCCCCCCACCCAACUUUUAACUGAGCAGUUCUGUUUUUAUCUGCUUUCUGUCAAAGGAUUCUGGAUCGUAUUUUAUUUGAAAAGUAAAAAGGCCUAAAACUGAAAAGAUUUGAAAACUACUGGCCCACAGGAAGAAAUUCACAUUCCAUCCCACAACAUACAACCUGCAACAUACGUCCCGUCCUCUAUUAUACUGUGUCAUGGAAUAACAUAGAAGGUUAUCUGGGGAGAGGUCCCUGCCUGCCAGUCAAUCCAUCUUAUACUCUCAAUUCCAAGACACCUUUGAAACAUUUACAAUUAUGCUGAUUUUCUUACAUCGUACUAGGUGAUCUGUCUUCUCAUGUCAUCUCCAAGCCUUGGCACAUUCUGUUUCCUCUGUCUGGAAUAUCUUGCCUCUGCUGGUUGCCUUAAAACUCCUAUUUAUUCUUCAAGUCUCAGCUCAAGGGCUUCUUGGGUGAGGGCUUUCUGAUCUUCUAGCCAAAGGUUGUCCAAUAGAAUGUGGUGCAAUGAAGAGUGUGCUCUGUUUCCCACACGGCCCAAUCCAGCAGACACCAGCCACAAUGUCACUAGUGCAACCAGGAAACUCAAUUCCUAACUUUGUGUAUAAAAUCAUUUUAAUUCUCUCAAGAGCUAUACAUGAGUCGUGACGACUGCUUUGCGAGAGCAGCUCUAGAUAGACCUACUUUGAGAUUGAUUUCUGUUAUAGAAUUUUCCAUAAAAACUGCAUCACAAUUAUUUACAUGAACAUUUAUUGUGCUGAUCUACCAGCGUCUAUGGGAUAGGACUGUGUGUGUGCCUGCACACACUGUGUCAUUAGCACUGAGCCCGGGACAGUAGGGAUUCUUCAAAUGUUGACUGGGUAGGUAAAAGGAAGCACAUUGUCAAGGAUGAAGUGCAACACAUAAAUGGAAAAUUUCGAGGGCUUUAAAUCAAACACUCCUUAUUUGAAGUCCAGAAUCUUUCCGUGGGUGAAUGGUGGAGGCAAGUCUCUCCUCCUGAGUUGAACUUACUCACCUGUUUAAUGAAGAUAACGCAGAAGUUCCCUUCAUCAGAUAUGUUGGGAGAAUAAAAGGAGCUAAAGUAUAUGAAUUAAAUGCAGAUUAAUUAGUUAACAUUAAUCCUCCUUCAAGAGUACCCACUUAUGUAUUUACCUCUGUAUGUAUUUUGUCCGGAAGCAUAUUUACAUCCCCUGAAAUUCAAAAUUCUAAUGAUAGGAAUGUUUGAAAAAUCCAUACCGAGAAAUAGCAGAUUGUAAUAUAUGCAAACAUUCCCCCACCCCAAUACUUUGAAAAGGACUACAGCUGGUGAGUUGCAGACCCGAGUCAGCACAGGUGUGUUCCCAACUUCAAUGAUACCAAAUCUGCCUCUAUGUGGGUAAAAGAAUUUGCAGAAGCUUGCCAAGUGACAGGUGGUGAGCUAGACCAGCGUGACUAAUGGUGGAACGAAAGAGAAAGGCAGAGGGAGAGAGGCUGUUGGUGGAAACACGGUGAUUUAUUUUUCACUGGGAAAAACGCAGUGUCAAGAAGCAUAGGGUCUUGGCUGACAUCAGAGCUCUGAAUCAAGUGAAACCAUUUUAUUUGGGUGAGUCUGCAGCCAGACACAAGGGUCCACCUUUGUCGGUGCUUUGUAUGCCUAAGCACAAAAUGAAGCAAAGGCUGCCAUCAGCAGAAGGGAAGGGGGCCAUCAUCGCCAACAAGUAUUAGAGUCUUGGCGUAUGUAUAUGCAGAGAGACAGCAGUCCUGAAAACACUGCAGGGAUGCACGUAAAUAAACACACAAACCCAUGCAUGGAAAUAACCUCAUCUCCAAAUCAAAACUGCAAAUUCCUCACAGCACACUCUUAGGGGCAGACUAGUGAUUACUGCUUUCCUGGAGCUCCCAAUCAGAUUUCUAUUUGAAGUUUAAACAGAUUUAGGUUUAUAAAACCUGCUGUCAUUCACCUGGUCAAGGCAUGAACAGUAAAGCAGCUUUGGUAACUUACGACCACUGUUCAGUUAUUGAUCUUGAACAUUGAUGGACGCAACUGUAAACUAUGCAAAACUACACAUUCAUUUUUUUCAGAUUUUUCUUUCCAGGGGGUGACAUUUGUCUUCCAUUUUUUAAUCUCUUUUAUAGAUCAAAUGUUCAUCAUGGAAGGACUGAGAUCCGUUUUUUGUUGUUGUUGUUUUAAUUCCUUGUUUGAGACAUUUUGUUCACUAUGCACGCAACUAAAACAGAACAUUUAAAAUCAUAAUAAUCAUUGAAACUGAAGUCAGUUCAACCUAAAAAUCAGUACAACCAUCAGCUAUCUUUUAUAGAAGAAGUUCUGCUAAGUGCUAAGAAGAAUGCUCGGAAUAAGAUUCUUUUGCCAGCUGAAGUAGGCAGAAUUUCUAGGUAAGGCCACCAGAACCCAUGCUCUCUCUAAUCCUUAGUACCUGUGAAUGUGAGAUACCACACCCAUGAUUGUGUUAUAUGUCAAAGUUAACCCUAAGAAAGGGAUAUCUUGGUGGGCCUGAUCUAAUCCUUAAAAGCAAAGAACUUUCUCUGGCAGGUGGCAGAAGAAGGUAGAGGCAGCAUUCAGAGAGUUUCAAAGCCCAGGAAGAAGUUGAGUUGAGGCACUGUUGUUGGCUUUGACGUUGGAGAGAACCACGUGAGAAGGGGUGGGGAUGACGUCUAGAAGCAGAAUGGCCCCGAGGCGACAGCCAGCAAGGAAACGGGGAACCUGGUCCUGCCACCACAAGGAACCAGAUUCUGCUGACUUGAAUAGUUGGAAAUGGAUGCUCCCCAAAGCCUCCAGUGAAGAGUCAGGCUGGCUGACAGCUUGAUUUCAGUCUCAAAAAACACUAAGCAGAGAAGCUAAUUGAGAUUCUCUGGAUUUCUGAUCUUCAGCCCUGACAGAUAAUAAAUAGGUGUUAUUUCAAGCCACUGAGAUUAUGGCAUUUUUUUAAAACACAGAUGUACAUAACUACAACAGUAUCUUUGCACAACACAGAGUUAGUUUAGCAGGAAAGGAAAAUGUCUGAGUAAUACUUAUAAUUGCAGAGCAAUAUGUGCUGAUAGAAAAACUGAAAUGUGCAUCUAGACGAUGUUUGACUUGGGCUGUGAAGAUGGAACAGAAACACCAUACAGGGAGAGGACACAAUCUCUGCAGACAGUCAGAUUCACAGACUGGUUCCUUGAGAAGCAGACUUGGAGAUGGAUAUUAGUGUGUCGGAAUUUUUUUCCAGCAGUGCCCUUGGGAUCUACAGCUGUGGAAGAGGGUGAGAGAAAGCAGGGCUCACUCUGCAGAGGGAGGGACUGAGCUGUGGAUUGGCCCCAACAAAGUCUCCAGCCAGCCCCGCGGGGAGAGGGUUCAUCAGAGAUAUCCUGCACUGGGGCAAGGGAGAUGGGACUAUGCCCUUGGGUUGACUAGCAAUGGAUGUAGGCUUCCCUGUGGAAGACAGUGUGACCUUGUGUGAGCCUGCUUUCUGUAGCUAAGACCACUUCCAAUGAAGGAUGACAACUAAGAGCUUCUCCUUUCACACACACAUUUCUGAAGCAAGGUCUGAAAGGUGCAGGCAGAGGCAUGGCCCAUUCAGAGAUAAGUGAGAAAUUUAGUGUAGCUUAGGAUAUGCAGAAAAAUAGAAAAGACUACUCACAACAGCCAAGAC
Sus scrofa (pig) is the source of this 5042-nucleotide non-coding RNA. The record is from RefSeq and is a predicted model, not a curated record. Lineage: Eukaryota; Metazoa; Chordata; Mammalia; Artiodactyla; Suidae.